This 777-nucleotide ribosomal RNA is filed under the name uncultured Inocybe. Its description in RNAcentral is "partial 28S ribosomal RNA". It matches the Rfam family "Eukaryotic large subunit ribosomal RNA", at positions 216 to 962 of the family's 3401-position model. Lineage: Eukaryota; Fungi; Basidiomycota; Agaricomycetes; Agaricales; Cortinariaceae. The record is from RNAcentral.
GAAUCCCGUCUUUGGCAUGGAUGACCGGGGCUUUUGUGAUGCGCUCUCGAAGAGUCGAGUUGUUUGGGAAUGCAGCUCAAAAUGGGUGGUGAACUCCAUCUAAAGCUAAAUAUUGGCGAGAGACCGAUAGCGAACAAGUACCGUGAGGGAAAGAUGAAAAGAACUUUGGAAAGAGAGUUAAACAGUACGUGAAAUUGCUGAAAGGGAAACGCUUGAAGUCAGUCGCGUCAGCUGGAAAUCAACCCUGCUUUUGCUGGGCGCACUUUCCUGUCUGACGGGUCAGCAUCAGUUCUGGUCGCUGGAUAAAGUCCUUGGGAACGUGGCAUCCUUUGGAUGUGUUAUAGCCCACUGGCGCAUGCAGCGGCUGGGAUUGAGGAACUCAGCACGGCCCUUGCGAGAGGGCGAUUGGAGGGAGACCUCACAACUUACGUGCUUAGGAUGCUGGCAUAAUGGCUUUAAUCGACCCGUCUUGAAACACGGACCAAGGAGUCUAACAUGCCUGCGAGUGUUUGGGUGGUGAAAACUCAUGCGCGCAAUGAAAGUGAUGGUUGAGAUCCCUGUCAUGGGGAGCAUCGACGCCCAGACCAGACCUUUUGCGACGGAUCUGCGGUAGAGCAUGCAUGUUGGGACCCGAAAGAUGGUGAACUAUGCCUGAAUAGGGUGAAGCCAGAGGAAACUCUGGUGGAGGCUCGUAGCGAUUCUGACGUGCAAAUCGAUCGUCAAAUUUGGGUAUAGGGGCGAAAGACUAAUCGAACCAUCUAGUAGCUGGUUCCUGCC